GGGUACUCACAGCCAGGGGCGGAAGAGGGGAUAGCUCUCAGUCCCCACUCUCGUGGGGGGUGCCUCCCCCUCCUGCGAUGGGGGUCCCCAGAGCCAGGGGGGGAAGAGGGACUGGCUCUCAGUAAUCCCACGUAAGGUACCUGCCGUCGGAAGAUUUGAACUUUCUACUUGGACAACUAACACCCACAGUCCUCCAGCUCCGGUAGAUUGCAAAUAACCUGCUUUCUUUCUGUUCCCGAGCUGCGUUCGGACCCAUGUCUUAUUGUAAAUCCCACGCAAGCUGCGUUCGGACCCGUCUGAUCGUAAAUCCCAUGUAAGGUACCUGCCGUCGGAAGAUUUGAACGUUCUACUUGGACACCUAAAACCCACAGUCCUCCAGAUUUGAACUUUCUACUUGGACAACUAACACCCACAGUCCUCCAGCUGCGUUCGGACCCAUGUCUUAUUGUAAAUCCCACGCAAGGUACCUGCCGUCGGAAGAUUUGAGCUUUCUUCUUGAACACCUCAUACCCACAGUCCUCCAGGCGCCAGUGGGAUCAAGAGAGGGCAACAUUGCAACUCUCCAUGCUCCUGCAAUAUCCAUGGCUAUUCUGUAGACAGAAAGACAACAGGUACAAAGCCCUAAGGAUUAUAAAGGUAUGCUGCUUACCAUCAUCUUAGUGACCAAGGCAGCGAAGCUGUUUCUGUACCUUGGAACAGUCUUCCCUGACAAGCCAGAGAACAGUGAUAAAGCCACCAGCCUUGGGAUCAGGACUGAAAAGGCAAGAGUGAUGGAGAUUUCUCCUGCGCUAAGCCAAGAGAAGGUUUCAGCACUUCAGACAGCUCCCACCGAAGUAGCCGCGCUCCCAGCUGCUUGCAGAUGUUGAAAAGGAAAGCCUCGGUUUGUCUUGAGGUUGUCAGCAGGUGCAAGACACGUAAUAAAAUGCAAUGUGUUCCUAA
RNAcentral lists this long non-coding RNA (939 nucleotides) under Homo sapiens (human). RNAcentral describes it as "novel transcript". Lineage: Eukaryota; Metazoa; Chordata; Mammalia; Primates; Hominidae. The record is from RNAcentral.